Long non-coding RNA from Corapipo altera (White-ruffed manakin), 771 nucleotides. RefSeq lists it as uncharacterized. Lineage: Eukaryota; Metazoa; Chordata; Aves; Passeriformes; Pipridae. The record is from RefSeq and is a predicted model, not a curated record. The transcript has 3 exons.
UUUGUUGUGCACACAGCCAUCAAUGCAGGGAUUCACUGCCUGGAGCUCCGAAGAACCAGGAGUUAAAGCAGCAUCCAUAAAUACGAGGAUUCUCCCGCCCAGUUAUCCAAUCUUUCUGCUGUAAUAGUUAGACACGGGUUCAUGUUUUACUUAACUACUGCCAGAACCUCCUGCAAAGCAGACCAGGUUGAAGUGGGUUUGAAUGUUUACUUUGACUCACAUCUCCCAAGGCUGAGCAAAGGCAGCUGCAGUGAAGGGCCUUCAGUGUGAGUGUGGAAGAAGUUCUUCCUCCUCAAAAAUUCCUGCAUGGCAUUUAUGUGGAAUCUCACACAAGCAUGUCCUGGCUCAGCACUGCCAUUCCCAGGCACUUGUAGCUGUGCAAUCAGGCUAAGGAGACAUCCAAACAUCAGCUAAAAAAACAAGUGUGAUUUAGAAAACUACUCAAAGUUAUGAGUUUUAAGAACUGAAAAGGAGUAAUGACAGUGAAUACUAAGAAAAUGUGAUUACUCAGCAUGGAAUUCUCCCAGUUGUGCUUUUCACAAGCUCUUCAAGCAGAAUUUACUCUCCAGCACGAAAUUGAAGAGCCAGUUAACUUCACUUUCUCAGGUUUAAAGGAAAUAGCAUGAAAACACUCAGUUAUGCUCACAAAAUGAUACCACGUAAUCCAAGGAUUGACUGGUUCUAGAAAUUAGCAGAGUCACUGCACGGAUGCUUUAUGGCCAUGGAGAGGCUCCCACUGACAGCCACUCUCCUGAGUUGAGAAAGUUAUUC